Molecule: ribosomal RNA, 495 nt
Filed under: Ligilactobacillus salivarius
Lineage: Bacteria; Bacillati; Bacillota; Bacilli; Lactobacillales; Lactobacillaceae
Description: bacterial SSU rRNA
Rfam family: Bacterial small subunit ribosomal RNA
Source: RNAcentral
AAACAGGUGCUAAUACCGUAUAUCUCUAAGGAUCGCAUGAUCCUUAGAUGAAAGAUGGUUCUGCUAUCGCUUUUAGAUGGACCCGCGGCGUAUUAACUAGUUGGUGGGGUAACGGCCUACCAAGGUGAUGAUACGUAGCCGAACUGAGAGGUUGAUCGGCCACAUUGGGACUGAGACACGGCCCAAACUCCUACGGGAGGCAGCAGUAGGGAAUCUUCCACAAUGGACGCAAGUCUGAUGGAGCAACGCCGCGUGAGUGAAGAAGGUCUUCGGAUCGUAAAACUCUGUUGUUAGAGAAGAACACGAGUGAGAGUAACUGUUCAUUCGAUGACGGUAUCUAACCAGCAAGUCACGGCUAACUACGUGCCAGCAGCCGCGGUAAUACGUAGGUGGCAAGCGUUGUCCGGAUUUAUUGGGCGUAAAGGGAACGCAGGCGGUCUUUUAAGUCUGAUGUGAAAGCCUUCGGCUUAACCGGAGUAGUGCAUUGGAAACUGG